AGAGUUUGAUCAUGGCUCAGAACGAACGCUGGCGGCAGGCUUAACACAUGCAAGUCGAACGCCCCGCAAGGGGAGUGGCGCACGGGUGAGUACAACAUGGGAACGUGCCUUAGAGUACGGAAUAACGUCGGGAAACUGACGCUAAUACCGUAUAUUCCCUCCGGGGGAAAGAUUUAUCGCUCUAAGAUCGGCCCAUGCCAGAUUAGGUAGUUGGUGAGGUAAUGGCUCACCAAGCCUACGAUCUGUAGCUGGUCUGAGAGGACGACCAGCCACACUGGAACUGAGACACGGUCCAGACUCCUACGGGAGGCAGCAGUGGGGAAUAUUGGACAAUGGGGGAAACCCUGAUCCAGCCAUGCCGCGUGAGUGAUGAAGGCCUUAGGGUUGUAAAGCUCUUUUGUCAGGGAAGAUGAUGACGGUACCUGAAGAAUAAGCACCGGCUAACUUCGUGCCAGCAGCCGCGGUAAUACGAAGGGUGCUAGCGUUGUUCGGAAUUACUGGGCGUAAAGCGCGCGUAGGCGGCGGCACAAGUCAGGGGUGAAAUCCUGGGGCUCAACCCCAGAAUCGCCUUUGAAACUAGGUCGCUGGAGUAUUGGAGGGGAGUGCGGAAUUGCUAAUGUAGCGGUGAAAUGCGUAGAUAUUAGCGGGAACACCGGUGGCGAAGGCGGCACUCUGGACAAUUACUGACGCUGAGGCGCGAAAGCGUGGGGAUCAAACAGGAUUAGAUACCCUGGUAGUCCACGCCGUAAACGAUGGAUGCUAGCUGUUGGGGGGUUCCCCCUCAGUAGCGUAGCUAACGCGUUAAGCAUCCCGCCUGGGGAGUACGGUCGCAAGAUUAAAACUCAAAGGAAUUGACGG
RNAcentral lists this ribosomal RNA (858 nucleotides) under uncultured bacterium. Its description in RNAcentral is "bacterial SSU rRNA". It matches the Rfam family "Bacterial small subunit ribosomal RNA", at positions 8 to 916 of the family's 1533-position model. The record is from RNAcentral.